UGAGCUAACGGAAGAAUCUUGUCUGGUUUG
This 30-nucleotide non-coding RNA is filed under the name Rattus norvegicus (Norway rat). The record is from RNAcentral. Lineage: Eukaryota; Metazoa; Chordata; Mammalia; Rodentia; Muridae.